RNAcentral lists this ribosomal RNA (300 nucleotides) under uncultured Veillonellaceae bacterium. Its description in RNAcentral is "bacterial SSU rRNA". It matches the Rfam family "Bacterial small subunit ribosomal RNA", at positions 28 to 339 of the family's 1533-position model. Lineage: Bacteria; Bacillati; Bacillota; Negativicutes; Veillonellales; Veillonellaceae. The record is from RNAcentral.
GAUGAACGCUGGCGGCGUGCCUAACACAUGCAAGUCGAACGGAACCUUCGGGUUUAGUGGCGAACGGGUGAGUAAAGCGCAGGUAAUCUGCCGCAAAGUCGGGGACAACGUUCCGAAAGGGACGCUAAUACCGGAUGUUGUGCGGAGUCCGCAUGGAUUCUGUACUAAAGAUUUAUCGCUUUGUGAGGAGCCUGCGUCCGAUUAGGUAGUUGGUAGAGUAAAAGCCUACCAAGCCGACGAUCGGUAGCCGGUCUGAGAGGAUGAACGGCCACAAUGGAACUGAGACACGGUCCAUACUCC